This 436-nucleotide unclassified non-coding RNA is filed under the name fungal sp. RNAcentral describes it as "partial internal transcribed spacer region". The stretch from base 1 to 46 matches the Rfam family "Eukaryotic small subunit ribosomal RNA", at positions 1786 to 1831 of the family's 1831-position model. The record is from RNAcentral. Lineage: Eukaryota; Fungi.
AAGUCGUAACAAGGUUUCCGUAGGUGAACCUGCGGAAGGAUCAUUAACAAAUCUAAACAACAAAAACACCACUUGGGGAGUGUGGCGCACUGGGACGGAGGUUUUUUGGGGAGGCUGGGGAGGAGGAACACACACUUUGAUGCGCGCGACUAUGAUGAAUGAAUGGGUGCAGCACAUAUAUAUAGUCGUCGUCAUCUCAAGGAGUGUGUUACGUGUGAAUCGCAUAUUUUGGGCAAGUGGAGGAAGAGGAGAGGAGGGAGAGGAGACGACAUAUAAGAGACGGAGAGAGUAAGACUAAAAACCUUGCCCCCCCUUCUUGUUGGCUCCUCCUCCCCCCCUUCUCUCCUUCGUCCUUGCUCAAACACGCUUGCGUGAGAACACAAAGAUGAUGGUAAACCAUCAAGUACAACUUUUAACAAUGGAUCUCUCGGCUCUU